RNAcentral lists this ribosomal RNA (1890 nucleotides) under Salmonella enterica subsp. enterica. Its description in RNAcentral is "partial 23S ribosomal RNA". It matches the Rfam family "Bacterial large subunit ribosomal RNA", at positions 905 to 2775 of the family's 2925-position model. Lineage: Bacteria; Pseudomonadati; Pseudomonadota; Gammaproteobacteria; Enterobacterales; Enterobacteriaceae. The record is from RNAcentral.
GAGCACUGUUUCGGCUAGGGGGCCAUCCCGGCUUACCAACCCGAUGCAAACUGCGAAUACCGGAGAAUGUUAUCACGGGAGACACACGGCGGGUGCUAACGUCCGUCGUGAAGAGGGAAACAACCCAGACCGCCAGCUAAGGUCCCAAAGUCAUGGUUAAGUGGGAAACGAUGUGGGAAGGCCCAGACAGCCAGGAUGUUGGCUUAGAAGCAGCCAUCAUUUAAAGAAAGCGUAAUAGCUCACUGGUCGAGUCGGCCUGCGCGGAAGAUGUAACGGGGCUAAACCAUGCACCGAAGCUGCGGCAGCGACGCUGAUGCGUUGUUGGGUAGGGGAGCGUUCUGUAAGCCUGCGAAGGUGGCCUGUGAGGGUUGCUGGAGGUAUCAGAAGUGCGAAUGCUGACAUAAGUAACGAUAAAGCGGGUGAAAAGCCCGCUCGCCGGAAGACCAAGGGUUCCUGUCCAACGUUAAUCGGGGCAGGGUGAGUCGACCCCUAAGGCGAGGCCGAAAGGCGUAGUCGAUGGGAAACGGGUUAAUAUUCCCGUACUUGGUGUUACUGCGAAGGGGGGACGGAGAAGGCUAUGUUGGCCGGGCGACGGUUGUCCCGGUUUAAGCGUGUAGGUGUGUGUUCCAGGUAAAUCCGGUUCACUUUAACACUGAGGCGUGAUGACGAGGCACUACGGUGCUGAAGCAACAAAUGCCCUGCUUCCAGGAAAAGCCUCUAAGCAUCAGGUAACAUCAAAUCGUACCCCAAACCGACACAGGUGGUCAGGUAGAGAAUACCAAGGCGCUUGAGAGAACUCGGGUGAAGGAACUAGGCAAAAUGGUGCCGUAACUUCGGGAGAAGGCACGCUGACACGUAGGUGAAGUGAUUUACUCAUGGAGCUGAAGUCAGUCGAAGAUACCAGCUGGCUGCAACUGUUUAUUAAAAACACAGCACUGUGCAAACACGAAAGUGGACGUAUACGGUGUGACGCCUGCCCGGUGCCGGAAGGUUAAUUGAUGGGGUCAGCGCAAGCGAAGCUCCUGAUCGAAGCCCCGGUAAACGGCGGCCGUAACUAUAACGGUCCUAAGGUAGCGAAAUUCCUUGUCGGGUAAGUUCCGACCUGCACGAAUGGCGUAAUGAUGGCCAGGCUGUCUCCACCCGAGACUCAGUGAAAUUGAACUCGCUGUGAAGAUGCAGUGUACCCGCGGCAAGACGGAAAGACCCCGUGAACCUUUACUAUAGCUUGACACUGAACAUUGAGCCUUGAUGUGUAGGAUAGGUGGGAGGCUUUGAAGUGUGGACGCCAGUCUGCAUGGAGCCGGCCUUGAAAUACCACCCUUUAAUGUUUGAUGUUCUAACGUGGACCCGUGAUCCGGGUUGCGGACAGUGUCUGGUGGGUAGUUUGACUGGGGCGGUCUCCUCCUAAAGAGUAACGGAGGAGCACGAAGGUUGGCUAAUCCUGGUCGGACAUCAGGAGGUUAGUGCAAUGGCAUAAGCCAGCUUGACUGCGAGCGUGACGGCGCGAGCAGGUGCGAAAGCAGGUCAUAGUGAUCCGGUGGUUCUGAAUGGAAGGGCCAUCGCUCAACGGAUAAAAGGUACUCCGGGGAUAACAGGCUGAUACCGCCCAAGAGUUCAUAUCGACGGCGGUGUUUGGCACCUCGAUGUCGGCUCAUCACAUCCUGGGGCUGAAGUAGGUCCCAAGGGUAUGGCUGUUCGCCAUUUAAAGUGGUACGCGAGCUGGGUUUAGAACGUCGUGAGACAGUUCGGUCCCUAUCUGCCGUGGGCGCUGGAGAACUGAGGGGGGCUGCUCCUAGUACGAGAGGACCGGAGUGGACGCAUCACUGGUGUUCGGGUUGUCAUGCCAAUGGCACUGCCCGGUAGCUAAAUGCGGAAGAGAUAAGUGCUGAA